UUCGUUAAUAUUUGUCAACAUUUCAAAGCUGCCCGGGAAUAUUUUACCGUCAGCGUAAAAUUAUAGAGUAAUUUCAAAAUAAUUCCCUUAUUUUAAUCUCACACUGGCGGAGACCCUUGUGAAGAAACAGUGAUCGUCGGCCAUGUUUGAAAGCUCAAAGAGUAAUCCCAAUAAACUCGAAAUUAGGGAUUUGCAUAGAGGAAGAUGAAGCACACGAUUUCUUCGAUGGCCAGAUAGGUGGUCGUAGAGCCGCCGUUACACGACGGUAAAUCCUUUGACAAAACAUAUAAACAGAGCCUUAGGCUAUCCUGUUUGGUUUUUGGGAAAGUGUGAGGAAAGUUAAAAAAAUAAAUAAAUAAAUAAAUAAUAAUAAUAAUAAUAAUAAAUGGAAAUAAAAAGAAAAAGAGGGAAAAAGGUUGAUCUUUCAUUGUUAUCUAUGUUUGUUUCCAUGGCCUUGUUAAAAAGGUGCUUUGUAGCUCCAUCGGCUUCUGGUGGUGCGCCUGCGUUUUUGAGUUCGGGUCCUGUUAUGAGGGGCCAGUACGGUGAUUUUGGUGCGGUGACGCUUGACUAAUGUAAGCACGAUAUGUCGCAGAAACAAAUCCAACUCCAGCCCUGAGAUCUUUUUUUAUAUAAGCUUCUCUUAGAGCAGGCUACUACAACUGGUUGCUCAGUUUGGUUGGAGUUUAAGAAUAGGAAGGAUAGGAUAAAGCAGGAAUGGGAUCUGGCACUUGUUCAUGUGCUCACUGUUGCAGCAUGCAAUGCUAUUAUUGUUUUGUUGCUUGCUCCUUGUCGUUCAUCUGGGAACAUGUUCCGGUUUGAUUUGCAAAAUACAUUGCAGAAGCUCCCAAACAACAUAUUUCAAAGAAGCUAUCCGCUGAGGGAAUUGGAUCUACAAAAGAGAAUACACUCUUUCUUCUAUAAGGCUGCCGAGUUGUGUAUGGCUGGGUUAAAUGCUGGAGCAGUGCAAGGUUCUUUAUCAAAUUAUCUAGCCAGUAAGAAGGAGGGAAGGUAUGAAGCAAAAGAAAACCUACUUAAACUGUUUCUUUUGUAAAACUAAAUAGUACUGAUUAGAGUUCAACAAUAAGAAUGAAGAAACCGUUGUGACUUCUCUGAAAGUUUAAAUAUCAAAGAAUUUACCCUGCAAGCUUGAGAAGCAUUGGUUUAUGAACUAAAGAAAAAAAUUAUUGAAGAACUAUUCUAUGAUGGAUGAAAAAGGAAUUAGUUUUUGGUUGUGCUGUAAGUAUAAUUUUUAUAUGUUAUGUUUACAUAUUUCAAAUAUAACAUUCUUUGGGGAAUGUCAUGAAUUUGGAAUAGAUUUAUGGGUUUAAGAAGAGUUGUUAUUUGAAAAAAAACAUGUUGCCCUUGAUUGUUGUUUUCGGUGAAAUAUUCGGCUUAGUUACCAUAAUAAAUUAAAUUGGCCAAACAAAUUUGUUCUCUGCAGUUGUUAACUUGUUUGACGGGUUAGCUGUGUCAAUACCAAGUACAAGCACUAAUGCACUUGGUUAUGGUGGCUUUCCUAGGACUUUAUGCUAACAUGAGAUAUCAGCUCUUGGGUGGGGAUAUGACAGGGCAAUGUUCAACCACGUUGAUGUCAUUAGAGGGGGGCUGUUUUUCAGCAUAGCAUUGAAGUUUUUCUCUAUGAAACACGUAUUGGCUGCUUAUAUUUGCUACUUAUGUGAGACAUUUAAAUUGGUUUCCCCUUAUUUUUUGGUGUGACUUUGCUAGGGGCUUUUAUUUAUUUAUUUAUUUUUUCCACCUUCGUGAUCUUUACUGUUUGGUCUUCUAAAGAUAUGUUAUUCUUAUGGUUUCAUCUGAAUGAUUAUCCGUUAGUUGUCUUAAUUUUUCCUUGUCUCAUAUUGAGUAUCUUCACUAUCAAUAUGCUUACCAGUGGGAUUUUUCUUUUUCUUUCUCUUUUUUCUUUUUUUAAUAAAUUUGAAAAGUGGGUGGGAUAGUUAUGAUUUUACCUGAGGGAACCCAUUCAAUUUCUAAAAAGGAUUACUAAUCCUUAACUUUUCGAGGAAUCCUUCAUCAGUGGUCAGUGCGCUACUGGAUUGAUCUAGUUUCCAGAGCUAGCACUAUUGGAAUAUCAGCAGGGGUCCUCCAAACACAAAGCGCAGAAUAGACAACCAUCAACCCAGUUUGAAUGGGGAACACAAUAGGCCUCCUGUCUAGUGUGAACUUGCUGUUAUAUUAGCCGAGCUGCAAUCAAGAAUACUUGCCAAGAAGUUUGAUGAAAUAAUAGAACUUCUAUAACUAGAGCUUUUAAGGUAUUGAUAUUUAAAGAGAAUUGACCUGUACAAGGUGCAUGGUACUCUGAAGGGAAAGACUGAUUCAUGGAUCCUUGCUCACAAUGGGGGUGAUGUCAAUAUCAUGAAGGCUGGACCUCAAGCAAACAAGAGUCUAUUACUAACCUCUUUAAUGAAGAUGCAAAUGAAGAUGCUUGACUUUCAAGUUAGAACUUCUAAGAUUAGGUGCAGUCUUUGCAUUGACAUUUUUGCGAGUUGCUGUCACCGCAGGUGCUUCAAGAAUGUGUAUAACAGGGCAGAGUGGAAGAGGGAACGGAAGUAAAUUCACUUGAAAUUUUGGGAUAUAUAUAUAUAUAUAUAUAGCGAGGAGGGCAAAUAUUCAUUUUAGAGCCACCAAUAGCCUUUGAAUCGAAUAGAGUAUCUUCCUUUUCGUCUUGCCCACUUGCAUCCUGUUGUAUUUCCUACAUGUUUUGGGAUUAUAUAUACGGUCCAUUGUUGUUGAAUAUUUGAUAAGUUCAUUCUUUCAAUUCUGAUACUUCCUUGUGUCACGUCCCGCGAAAAAGGACUUCCCGAUAGCGAAGCAAGUUGGGAACCUGCUAUCGCGCUUUGGCAAUUUGAAGAUCAUAUCAAGAGGUUCCAUGAAGCAAGCUCGACGAGGACGUCGACGGCAUAGGUGGGGGAGAAUGUCACGGUUGAAGCAUUUCAUCAAACACUUGGUGAGCAUUCUCUCCAUUUUGGGCCUUACAAUCCAUUUUGGGCCUUAUAAUCCACUUUGGGCCUAUUUUGGGCCUUACAAUGGGCCAAGCACCUAGAAUGGUGUAGAAUUCUCUAGAACCUUGUGGAGAACUCUAGGUCAAGCCAUGUACAUAUCCAUUCUAGAUGCUUCUUUAGAUAUUUUAUGUAAAGUAGGUGGGAAAGUAGGUGGGAACCAUUCUCCACCGUAGGAUUAAAGCAAUUAUAGCCGUAGGAUUAAGCUUUGUAUGCCUAUAAAUAGGUGGAGGCCUCAUUUGGCCAAACCAUCCAAGGAUCCAAGAAUCCAAGCUUUUCUUGUAAAGCUCUCUCUUAAGCAAUAUACUUUCAUUCUUCCAAA
RNA transcript from Ziziphus jujuba (common jujube), 3336 nucleotides. RefSeq lists it as uncharacterized. The record is from RefSeq and is a predicted model, not a curated record. The transcript has 5 exons. NCBI's taxonomy places the organism in Eukaryota, Viridiplantae, Streptophyta, Magnoliopsida, Rosales, Rhamnaceae.